RNAcentral lists this transfer RNA (76 nucleotides) under Ruminococcus sp. RNAcentral's name for it is "tRNA-Thr". It matches the Rfam family "tRNA". From Rfam's summary of the family: Transfer RNA (tRNA) molecules are approximately 80 nucleotides in length. Their secondary structure includes four short double-helical elements and three loops (D, anti-codon, and T loops). RNAcentral also lists the same sequence under 7 other names. The record is from RNAcentral. Lineage: Bacteria; Bacillati; Bacillota; Clostridia; Eubacteriales; Oscillospiraceae.
GCUGAUAUGGCUCAGGUGGUAGAGCACAUCCUUGGUAAGGAUGAGGUCGGCAGUUCGAGUCUGCCUAUCAGCUCCA